RNAcentral lists this ribosomal RNA (443 nucleotides) under uncultured bacterium. RNAcentral's name for it is "partial 16S ribosomal RNA". It matches the Rfam family "Bacterial small subunit ribosomal RNA", at positions 338 to 795 of the family's 1533-position model. The record is from RNAcentral.
CCUACGGGUGGCAGCAGUGGGGAAUAUUGGGCAAUGGGCGCAAGCCUGACCCAGCAACGCCGCGUGAAGGAAGAAGGCUUUCGGGUUGUAAACUUCUUUUAUCAGGGACGAAAAAAGUGACGGUCCCUGAUGAAUACGCCGCCGCUAACUAUGUGCCAGCAGCCGCGGUAAGUCGUAGGGGGCAAGCGUUAUCCGGAUUUACUGGGUGUAAAGGGAGUGUAGGCGGGAGUGCAAGUCAGAUGUGAAACCUUGGGGCUCAACCCAGAGACUGCAUUUGAAACUGUACGUCUGGAGUGCAGGAGAGGCAAGCGGAAUUCCUGGUGUAGCGGUGAAAUGCGUAGAUAUAAGGAGGAACACCAGUGGCGAAGGCGGCUUGCUGGACUGUAACUGACGUUGAGGCGCGAAAGCGUGGGGAGCAAACAGGAUUAGAUACCCUAGUAGUC